RNAcentral lists this ribosomal RNA (568 nucleotides) under uncultured delta proteobacterium. Its description in RNAcentral is "bacterial SSU rRNA". It matches the Rfam family "Bacterial small subunit ribosomal RNA", at positions 338 to 916 of the family's 1533-position model. The record is from RNAcentral. Lineage: Bacteria; Deltaproteobacteria.
CCUACGGGAGGCAGCAGUGGGGAAUCUUGCGCAAUGGGCGAAAGCCUGACGCAGCGACGCCGCGUGGGUGAUGGAGGCCUUCGGGUCGUAAAGCCCUGUAGGGAGGGAAGAAGCUUCGGCUGACGGUACCUCCUUAGCAAGCACCGGCUAACUACGUGCCAGCAGCCGCGGUAAAACGUAGGGUGCAAACGUUGUUCGGAAUUACUAGGCGUAAAGCGCGCGUAGGCGGGUCUGUAUGUCGGAUGUGAAAGCCCUCGGCUCAACUGAGGAAGUGCAUUCGAAACUGCAAGCCUAGAGUACGGGAGAGGAGAGUGGAAUUCCCGGUGUAGAGGUGAAAUUCGUAGAUAUCGGGAGGAACACCAGCGGCGAAGGCGGCUCUCUGGACCGAUACUGACGCUGAGGCGCGAAAGCGUGGGGAGCAAACAGGAUUAGAUACCCUGAUAGUCCACGCUGUAAACGAUGGGCACUAGAUGUCGCGGGUUUUGAUGCCUGCGGUGUCGCAGCUAGCGCGAUAAGUGCCCCGCCUGGGGACUACGGCCGCAAGGCUAAAACUCAAAUGAAUUGACGG